AGUCCCAAAAAGCAUUCUGUGCGAAGCACUUAACGCCAAAAGCAGGAUAACAUUGCGGCCGAAAGGAUGCAAUUGAAUUGUCUGUAUUGGGGUAAUUAUUCAGUGCCUUAUCUUAAAGACUUUCUGACCUUCCCAUCCAAACGAAAAACCGAAAGUCGACCGCAAAGAUCUAAAAAGAGGGAUUUGAUUUCACAAACACUCAACCACAAAUAUUUAUUCACAUGGCCAGGUGAGAAUUGACAAAUUUCCAUUUCGUCAAUUCGAACAAUAAAGCUAAAACUAUAACGAAACUCCUUAAAUAAAAAAAACCAAGAAAAAACGAGUGGCCAAGGCCACUCAAAACCGCUUUCAAUUAAAGUGGAGCACACUUUUGCUUGUGGUCGGGCGCAAGCUCAUCAUCACGAUCAUUGUCGUCAUAAUCAUUAUAAGCUGAUGCCUCAGGAGUGAAAACGUUGUUGCCCCAGGCGGUGUAUCCAAACGUCCCCAACUCAGCCCGCUUAUGACCCCAGAAACAAAAAGUUCCAUUACCGAAUGACAUUUAUGAAGAAAUUGUGCAUAUUAAAUUGGGAUAUUGAUAAGUGAUAUCAUUGUUCCCAAGAAGUGAACGUCUAAACACAAAGGCAGACGGAUGAACAUUGCUAAAUGGACAGGCUUUCUUCUACCUCUUACAUACUUCUCAACGAAUCACAUAUACACUAUACUAUAAUGUGUUCACAAAAUACCAAAAAUGAUCAAGGUCUACACUCUAACGAUGUGCUGAAGUAGCUGCGCCGCAGAAAGAUAAAGCCUAAUGUGGAAAUACAAAUGUAAUUGCUUGCAGUUAAUUGACCCACAUACGAUUUCUAGCCAAGUCAAUGUCAAGUGUUGCUUCGGCUGACUUACUACAAAAGUUAAUUGCACUGCACGCACAUGCCAAAAGGUAAAAAGAGUCGCGAGCCUCGGCGACAGGCUUCCAAAACCCUGUAUAUCCACAUCACCAGACCUCAGGACCUCAACUUACGACUCUGGCUACGAGGCGCGUGUGUGCAAUAUCAGGUUUCCGCAUCGACUUGCAUAGUGAUUCGAGGAUGUGCGAAAAUAUGAUUUAAAUUAAGGGAUCAUCAGUUUGCAACAGACUAUUUGUAUACCUUCCUUUUAGAAUAUAUAUAUAUUUUUUAUAGAAAUAUGUAAUACUAGUUAAGUCUUCUAAAGGAAAUACAUUUUUACACGUU
This 1211-nucleotide long non-coding RNA is filed under the name Drosophila melanogaster (fruit fly). RNAcentral's name for it is "yellow-achaete intergenic RNA (Dmel_CR42744)". The stretch from base 848 to 922 matches the Rfam family "Yellow-achaete intergenic RNA conserved region 2". Lineage: Eukaryota; Metazoa; Arthropoda; Insecta; Diptera; Drosophilidae. The record is from RNAcentral.